Non-coding RNA from Schizothecium vesticola, 103 nucleotides. The record is from the annotation of a GenBank genome assembly. NCBI's taxonomy places the organism in Eukaryota, Fungi, Ascomycota, Sordariomycetes, Sordariales, Schizotheciaceae.
GCGAUGUUGGCUCAGUUGGUAGAGCGUUGGUCUCAUAUGCAGUAUGAUUAGGUUUAACACUAGAGUAAUCCAAAGGUCGUGAGUUCGAGCCUCACACGUCGCA